RNAcentral lists this ribosomal RNA (509 nucleotides) under Salmonella enterica subsp. enterica serovar Enteritidis. RNAcentral describes it as "partial 23S ribosomal RNA". It matches the Rfam family "Bacterial large subunit ribosomal RNA", at positions 699 to 1206 of the family's 2925-position model. Lineage: Bacteria; Pseudomonadati; Pseudomonadota; Gammaproteobacteria; Enterobacterales; Enterobacteriaceae. The record is from RNAcentral.
GUUGCAGGGUAUAGACCCGAAACCCGGUGAUCUAGCCAUGGGCAGGUUGAAGGUUGGGUAACACUAACUGGAGGACCGAACCGACUAAUGUUGAAAAAUUAGCGGAUGACCUGUGGCUGGGGGUGAAAGGCCAAUCAAACCGGGAGAUAGCUGGUUCUCCCCGAAAGCUAUUUAGGUAGCGCCUCGUGAAUUCAUCUCCGGGGGUAGAGCACUGUUUCGGCUAGGGGGCCAUCCCGGCUUACCAACCCGAUGCAAACUGCGAAUACCGGAGAAUGUUAUCACGGGAGACACACGGCGGGUGCUAACGUCCGUCGUGAAGAGGGAAACAACCCAGACCGCCAGCUAAGGUCCCAAAGUCAUGGUUAAGUGGGAAACGAUGUGGGAAGGCCCAGACAGCCAGGAUGUUGGCUUAGAAGCAGCCAUCAUUUAAAGAAAGCGUAAUAGCUCACUGGUCGAGUCGGCCUGCGCGGAAGAUGUAACGGGGCUAAACCAUGCACCGAAGCUGCGGC